This is a long non-coding RNA of Photinus pyralis (common eastern firefly), 1596 nucleotides long. RefSeq lists it as uncharacterized. The record is from RefSeq and is a predicted model, not a curated record. Lineage: Eukaryota; Metazoa; Arthropoda; Insecta; Coleoptera; Lampyridae. The transcript has 2 exons.
AUGUAUAUGUUAAUAACAUAUCCUAGCGUUCGGCAUUUCGCGCGGCUUCGAUAGGUAGUCGAAGAGGAUUAAAAAUUUGAAAACUCAAACAGUUUUAUUAUUAAUGAACCUUUUUUAUGCAUUAGUUUUAAAUUAUUUUCGUUAAUUUGCCGGACCAACAAUCCUCUUUGUAGGUGUUGCCAGUCAAAAAUCAUCUUACACAAUUAUUUAUCAUUUCAGUACAUUCAUAUAAAUAAAAUAAAACAUGCUUCAUUACCAAUAAAACUGUUUGAAUUUUGAAAAUCUUCGACCACCCACCACCACCGCGCGAAAUUGCUGCCAGAUGCUCGGAUAUGUUAUUAGUAUAUACAUAACUAUCUUAUAUCCAAAUAUCAACAAUAAUAAAACUGUUUAAAAAAGUGUGCGACUAGCUCUCCUACUAUAAUAUUUUAGUCGCUCAAUUAAAAUACUAUCAUUUCUUUAAAGUUCAUUAGUAUAUGAAGACUUAAAUUUCCCAAAGGAGAAUUAUUUCAUGUCAUUGUUCAUUUCAGUAGGACUUUCCAUUUGAUCCAUUAAGAAUGACGUUAUUGUCUUUGGAUUGUUAAGUAGCAUAUUGUGUCCACUUGUAGUAAGUUCCUCCUUGUCACGGUGACGUUAUUUAAACAGUUUAGUUUUCUUUUACUUUUUCAGAGGAUGAACUAUGUAUAAGAUGUUGACACUAAAACAUUCUAUAAAACACAUGUCAAGUUCUAUUUGAUAAUGAAAACAGGUCAAUUUUGGUUAAUCAUUACACUUCAGUUAAUAAUAACAUGCUGUUUUUGCAGGGGUCCUAAAUGCUCAAUUGUUUUUGAAUUCACAAGUCUUAUAGAGGUGUUCAGUACGAUAUACCAUUUUAUCCUAUUGUUGACUUACAAUCUUUUCAUAAACGAACAUUAAAAUUGAAUUUUAUAAACUGUGAGAUAAAUCUUCAAUCAUAUGCACAUUUUACUAUUUGUUCAAACAUUUUUUACCUGUAAAUCAUUUAUUCUGCAUGCCUCAUUGCAAAUAUUUCUUAUUCUUAUAUUUUUGUUGGCACAGCAAACGUGAUUUAGUAUGUCUUUGCCAUACAAAAAGCACAUUAUAAAAUAAUAUGUGGGCUUACUACAUCUAUUAUGGUUGUGGGUAGAUAUCUAGAUCGAGUUCUGCUAGUUCCUUAUCGAGGGAGGUUCAAUAUUACAUGCAGAAUAAAGAGCCUGUGCAUCGUUAACCUUUUGCUUUCAUUCAUUAGUUUGCAAUAAAAUUACUGUUUGCGUUACUGUCACACUACAUCUUGGGAUAUCAACGAGAAGCUGAACGGUGUAAAUAUCUUAUCUGAAGACUCACACAUGCUAUAUAAUAAUUAUGAUGGUACCGAAGGUUUAGUAUAAGUUAUAUGGAUAAGUAAUUCUUAAUUGUCACAUCUUACAUGUAAUAUAUCGUGUCGCGUCAUGCUAUUUAUGUUAUAGUGUGCUUGUUUAAAUUAAGUUUAUUAAAGACAAUAUUGAGAUGUGUAUAAUAGUUGGUUAUAUUUGUAAAUUUGUGUUCUUAUUUGCAAAUUGUGUACAGUAUGGGUUUUAAUAAAUACAUAUUUAAGAAGUU